RNAcentral lists this ribosomal RNA (790 nucleotides) under Microbacterium testaceum. RNAcentral describes it as "bacterial SSU rRNA". It matches the Rfam family "Bacterial small subunit ribosomal RNA", at positions 55 to 858 of the family's 1533-position model. Lineage: Bacteria; Bacillati; Actinomycetota; Actinomycetes; Micrococcales; Microbacteriaceae. The record is from RNAcentral.
AUGCAGUCGACGGUGAAGCCAAGCUUGCUUGGUGGAUCAGUGGCGAACGGGUGAGUAACACGUGAGCAACCUGCCCUGGACUCUGGGAUAAGCGCUGGAAACGGCGUCUAAUACUGGAUAUGAGACGUGAUCGCAUGGUCGUGUUUGGAAAGAUUUUUCGGUCUGGGAUGGGCUCGCGGCCUAUCAGCUUGUUGGUGAGGUAAUGGCUCACCAAGGCGUCGACGGGUAGCCGGCCUGAGAGGGUGACCGGCCACACUGGGACUGAGACACGGCCCAGACUCCUACGGGAGGCAGCAGUGGGGAAUAUUGCACAAUGGGCGGAAGCCUGAUGCAGCAACGCCGCGUGAGGGAUGACGGCCUUCGGGUUGUAAACCUCUUUUAGCAGGGAAGAAGCGAAAGUGACGGUACCUGCAGAAAAAGCGCCGGCUAACUACGUGCCAGCAGCCGCGGUAAUACGUAGGGCGCAAGCGUUAUCCGGAAUUAUUGGGCGUAAAGAGCUCGUAGGCGGUUUGUCGCGUCUGCUGUGAAAUCCCGAGGCUCAACCUCGGGCCUGCAGUGGGUACGGGCAGACUAGAGUGCGGUAGGGGAGAUUGGAAUUCCUGGUGUAGCGGUGGAAUGCGCAGAUAUCAGGAGGAACACCGAUGGCGAAGGCAGAUCUCUGGGCCGUAACUGACGCUGAGGAGCGAAAGGGUGGGGAGCAAACAGGCUUAGAUACCCUGGUAGUCCACCCCGUAAACGUUGGGAACUAGUUGUGGGGACCAUUCCACGGUUUCCGUGACGCAGCUAACGC